This 253-nucleotide ribosomal RNA is filed under the name uncultured bacterium. Its description in RNAcentral is "partial 16S ribosomal RNA". It matches the Rfam family "Bacterial small subunit ribosomal RNA", at positions 524 to 776 of the family's 1533-position model. The record is from RNAcentral.
UACGUAGGGUGCAAGCGUUGUCCGGAAUUAUUGGGCGUAAAGAGCUCGUAGGCGGUUUGUCACGUCGGAUGUGAAACCCCGAGGCUUAACCUCGGGCCUGCAUUCGAUACGGGCUGACUAGAGUUCGGUAGGGGAGACUGGAAUUCCUGGUGUAGCGGUGAAAUGCGCAGAUAUCAGGAGGAACACCGGUGGCGAAGGCGGGUCUCUGGGCCGAUACUGACGCUGAGGAGCGAAAGCGUGGGGAGCGAACAGG